Molecule: long non-coding RNA, 909 nt
Organism: Strongylocentrotus purpuratus (purple sea urchin)
Lineage: Eukaryota; Metazoa; Echinodermata; Echinoidea; Camarodonta; Strongylocentrotidae
Exons: 3
Source: RefSeq, a predicted model, not a curated record
UGACACUUGCUUCGAUUAUUAGAAUUUCAAAGAGAUUUGAUCCGAAAUAUUAACAGCAAAGAGGAAUCUUCUAGGUGGACAACAUGCAUUCGAGUCCAACGAAAGAUUUUACGUGGUUUAUGGCCAACUAGUACAUUGUGUGAGGAGUACGGAUCAGAAGAAAUGAGAUCAUAUUCAGUCCUCUUCAGACUGCCUCCUGACUUGUUCUUGAUCUGCAGCAGAUAGCAUGUUGUGGUCAACGGCAGGAAGGAGAAUAUACCCGACUGUAAACACUCAUCUCAUUACACUCAGUUACUUUGGUUAAUUAUAGCCCUAACUAUUAGAACAAAAUACUUUGUCAUAAUGUUAUAUACUGUUGCUUAGUGACUACUGAAAAUCUUCAAAACGAUUAUUUAAGCCGGGUUUAUUUUAUCAUUAACAUGACUAAAGGUGGUUUAUCACAACUAAAUAUGUUUAUUCAACCUUAAUAUAACCGUUGUCUACUGGAAGUGAUGAUAUCUGUCUUAAACCUAUGGAAGAUAUGAAUAUUCUCUAGUCAUCGAGUUAAAAUUGACCAUUGAUAUACUAUUGAUGUUUGCAUUAUGUAUCAUAUCAGUGCACAUUGAGAUAGGAGAAUCACAAUGUCGGAAUUUAAACGCAAAGUUUCACGCAAUUUGCAGUGCCCUGUUUGUUUCGAGCUGCUUUGUGACCCGAAGCAGUUAUCAUGUACACAUACCUUCUGUAAGAAAUGCCUUAAUGAUAUUCUUAAAAGCUCUUCAAAAGAUUAUCUUACAUGUCCCAUCUGUCGAAGCAUAACAUCUGUAGAGGGUGGCAAUGUCUUAAAUCUAAAUACUAAUGUUCCUCUUAAAUCUCUCAUUGAUGAUGUGAGAAAUAGCCAGCAAGUCUGUGAAAUGUGUGACUCUAACUCGA